AGUGAACGCUGGCGGUAGGCCUAACACAUGCAAGUCGAACGGCAGCACAGUAAGAGCUUGCUCUUACGGGUGGCGAGUGGCGGACGGGUGAGGAAUACAUCGGAAUCUACUUUUUCGUGGGGGAUAACGUAGGGAAACUUACGCUAAUACCGCAUACGACCUACGGGUGAAAGCAGGGGAUCUUCGGACCUUGCGCGAUUGAAUGAGCCGAUGUCGGAUUAGCUAGUUGGCGGGGUAAAGGCCCACCAAGGCGACGAUCCGUAGCUGGUCUGAGAGGAUGAGCAGCCACCCUGGAACUGAGACACGGUCCAGACUCCUACGGGAGGCAGCAGUGGGGAAUAUUGGACAAUGGGCGCAAGCCUGAUCCAGCCAUACCGCGUGGGUGAAGAAGGCCUUCGGGUUGUAAAGCCCUUUUGUUGGGAAAGAAAAGCAGCAGGUUAAUACCCCGCUGUUCUGACGUUACCCAAAGAAUAAGCACCGGCUAACUUCGUG
This 492-nucleotide ribosomal RNA is filed under the name uncultured bacterium. RNAcentral's name for it is "partial 16S ribosomal RNA". It matches the Rfam family "Bacterial small subunit ribosomal RNA", at positions 29 to 507 of the family's 1533-position model. The record is from RNAcentral.